CUCUCUUCCUAGAUCCUGCCAGUCGAAAUUCUGCACCAAUGAAUGCAAGACCAGAGGGAGAAGAUGGCUGGCUCAGAUCCAUUUUCUUCCUAAAAUCCAUUUUAGACAUUAUCAAAUAAUGGUCUGUUCAAUAGGAUGCACAUAGCUCAAGGUUUUCCAUUAUCUGCAGAGACACGUCUCUUAUCCAUGUCAUAGGAAGUUCAGCAAGAAGAAGCAGGAUAAGUCUCUAUUUGAAGAUAUUUCAGUGGAUGAAUUAGUUCUGGCGCAAGAGAAAAUGUCUGCUAUGAACUCUGCAUAGGCAUCAGGAAGGGCAACUGGCCAGUAAAUGAUCAGCUCCAUUCAUUCGCCCCAACUCUACCCUAAAUAAAGGGAUUAAAGGAUUGUAAAAAGAAAAAAAAAUCUUUCCAGAUAGGACAUAAUAAGACCAGUUCCUUGUCAGAUAAAAUAGCAGAACAUCGAAACGAUCAGAACAAAUCAAAUGUACGAUAAGAUAAAUAGUAACAAGGAAGACACGAUAGAUAAGCUUUUCUACCACCCACCAACACAGUAGUUGAUUCCUGUUUAGAUCCCCCUUCUGUCUCUUUCUACCUCUUUUUCCUUCCUAAUGUCUCAUAUGUUCAAUAUCAAAUUGACAAAGCAUUCAAAGGAAAUAUCUUUUCAGCUGUCACAGCGUUAAACAAGCAUUUUUUUUCCUGAAAGCAUCAGAAAUGUGACCGAGAGAGAGUUCGCAUUUCCAAAAGUAGUAACUGCCUUUUCAGCUGAAAGAAUUGCCUUCUGUCAGCAAUAAUGUCACCUCAAAUAUCUUUUGCAAAGCAACUCGUUUGCUGUGACAUUUAUAAUUUAUUCAUCCCAUGAUGUUUGCACCAUCUACAACUUCUUCAAUUCCAUCUUGGAUAUGCCAUUAGCUUUAAAAUGUAUACAUAAGGCAACUGGCUCCUUCUGUUAAAAGUUUAACAGAGAUGCUCUUGCAAGAUUAAAACAAGCAAAAUAACUUUUGAUAUAAUAAAAUCUAAAUAUGGAGGCCAUGUCCAUUGGCAUGUUGAUCCUUAAAUAA
Molecule: long non-coding RNA, 1054 nt
Organism: Pantherophis guttatus
Lineage: Eukaryota; Metazoa; Chordata; Lepidosauria; Squamata; Colubridae
Source: RefSeq, a predicted model, not a curated record